Molecule: long non-coding RNA, 254 nt
Filed under: Brassica napus (rape)
Lineage: Eukaryota; Viridiplantae; Streptophyta; Magnoliopsida; Brassicales; Brassicaceae
Description: long non-coding RNA (BNAP_LNC016724)
Source: RNAcentral
AGGGUGCUUUAAUAUAAUUGUGAACAUUAUUUCCAUUUUUACUGCUGAGAAGUGCUUCUUUUCUUUUACAAAAAAAAAACCACGUGUCAUUCUCUCAAUCCUAUUUAGCUAACCUGGAGGUCUGGGCUACAGAGACGAUGAGAAAGGUGUGGAAGAUCCAAAAGUAGAAGAGGUGAUGGUGAACAAGACGAAGAAGAACUGGUGAAGAAAUUCAAGGAAGAAGCUGCCGCUGUUGAUAAAGCAUAUCGUGAAUU